Molecule: long non-coding RNA, 2163 nt
Filed under: Homo sapiens (human)
Lineage: Eukaryota; Metazoa; Chordata; Mammalia; Primates; Hominidae
Description: HSALNT0171132
Source: RNAcentral
CAGCCCCUUGACAUGUGAGCGGCGUUCCUCAGCCUCUGCCAUCAUGCACCACCACCCUGCAAGGAGGGCACAGCAGAGAGAAACUGGGCCCAGAGGACCCCAGGUGGCCACUGCUGGGCCAGGCGGACACUCAGAACAGUGUGUGACGCAGAGCAGGUGCUUUGGCCACAAAGGUAAAGAGCCUGUGAGAACAUCCAGCCCCCAAGACAUGCUCAGGAAUAAAAGCGAAACACCCAGCAUGGAGCCCAGCACAUGGGAUCAUGGAAGAGGUCCCAGGAGCACAGAGCCACACCAUCCAUUCCAUGGGAGUGGGAACUAGAGCUGACAGCUUUCAUCAGCCAAGCCUGCAACACACCCACAAAUCAUAGUCACACACUGCACACCUGAGGCUUUGGCAAAAACACCGCAUCCAGCACAUCGGUUGUGACCAGAGACAGGGCCACAUUGAGCCUGCAGGAGUCAUGUCCAUUUUCCAGAAUCUAUCCCAUCUAUUCACCUUCCACAAGGACCAGACCAGUGAAUGAACACACAGACACACACACACACACGCACACGCACAAGAGAGAGAGAUGAAAGCAAUUGGCUCCCAUGAUCUGUCCCGUCUGCAAGCUGAGACCCGGGAGAGCCGGUGGAGUAAAUCGCAGUCCGAGGGCAGGAGAUGAGAUAAGACAUCCCAGCUCAAGCAGUGACGCAAGAAAAAGAGGGCAGAUUCUUCUUCCCCUGCCUUUCUGUUCUAUUCAGGUUCACACUGGAUGGGAGGAGGCCCCCACGCUGGGGAGGGCAUCUGCCUUCCUGAGUCCACCAAUCCCAAUACUCAUCUCACCCAGAAUCAACCUCGCAGACAUGCCUGGAUCAAGGUUUAAUCUGGGCACCCUGUGGCCCAGUUAAGUGAACACAUAGAAAUAAUUCGUCACACCAGAGAUCUUGAUGGUGCAUACAAACAUCCACUGUCCUCGCCGAGAUGCGAUUGUGUUUCUGAUUUAUUAUCUUGACCGAGGAUGCUUUCAGUGACCUACACUUGACCUCCUCUCUAACAGAAGACGAUGAUAACGUUUCAGGUCUUGUUUGUUUGUUUUGCGAGACAAGGUCUUGCUAUGUUGCCCAGGCUGGAGUGCGGUGGCAUGAUCAUGGCUCACUGCAGCCUCAAACCCCUGGGCUCAAAUGAUCCUCCUGCCUCACCUGGGACCCCAGGUGUGCACCACCAUGCCUGGCUAAUUUCUCUUAAUUUUUCUUUGUUUGUCUCUCUACAAAAGGGUGUCUCUCUACAAAAAAAGAAAAAUUAAGAGAAAUUAGCCAGGCGUGGUGAUGCACAGGCUGGUCUUCAUCUCCUGGGUGCAAGCGAUUCCUCCUUGGCCUCCCAAAGUGCUGUGAUAACAGGCAUGAACCAGUGUGCCCAGCCACCCUCCAGGUCUUUAGAUGCCAGCGUCAACUCAGAGCCUGUGUCCAUCGGUCCUACAAUGUGAGGGGUCUCUGUGCCAGAGUGCUCAGCCCUGUGAGUAAAUGCCACGUUCCUUUGCGAGAACAUUCCAGCAAAUGCUGGCAGUGGUGUUGCUGGGCCUUCCCUCUGCAGACCUUGGCUGCGUCUUCAAGCAACAGGCUCUGGGUCAGAAAAUAAACUCAGAUACGGACAUGGGGCAAGACAGCACGGCUUCUUAUCGGAGCGAUCACUUUCAGCCUCUUCCCCAUUCAUUCAUAGUCUCUGUUCAUUAAAUAAACAGCUUUAUUGAGGUAUUAUUGACAUACAAUAAACUGCACAUAUCUAAAAUGUACAGUUUGAUACAUUUUAAAACGCGAAACUUGUGUCCACUCAUGUCCUCAGAAACGGUCACCAUGAUGGGGACAGUGGGCACGUCCCCUCCCUGACGGUGUCCUCCUGCCCCUUUGUAACCCUUCCUGUCACUCUUCCCUUUCCCCAGCCCCCAUGAGCCACUGCUGACCUGCUUUCUACCGCAUUUCUGAGUUUCACUGUAUAUAUGGAAAUAUACAGUGAGUCUUCUUUUUCCUCUGGCUUCCUUCAUUCAGAAAAUUCUCUUGAGCUUCACCCUUGUUUGUUGUUCUGUAUGAGUAACUCACCCCUUCCUGUUGCUAACUAUACCCUCCUGCCUGGCUAGACCAGAGCUUGUUUUUAUCUGUUCAUCUGUUGAUGAACACCUGAGUCAUAUC